RNAcentral lists this ribosomal RNA (340 nucleotides) under uncultured bacterium. RNAcentral describes it as "bacterial SSU rRNA". It matches the Rfam family "Bacterial small subunit ribosomal RNA", at positions 456 to 793 of the family's 1533-position model. The record is from RNAcentral.
AACUGUUCAUACGUUGACGGUAUUUAACCUAGAAAGUCACGGCUAACUACGUGCCAGCAGCCGCGGUAAUACGUAGGUGGCAAGCGUUAUCCGGAUUUAUUGGGCGUAAAGAGAGUGCAGGCGGUUUUCUAAGUCUGAUGUGAAAGACCUUCGGCUUAACCGGAGAAGUGCAUCGGAAACUGGAUAACUUGAGUGCAGAAGAGGGUAGUGGAACUCCAUGUGUAGCGGUGGAAUGCGUAGAUAUAUGGAAGAACACCAGUGGCGAAGGCGGCUACCUGGUCUGCAACUGACGCUGAGACUCGAAAGCAUGGGUAGCGAACAGGAUUAGAUACCCUGGUAG